AAACUGCCAGAGUACGUGGGGCGUACACUCACGUACGCUAAGCGUAUUGGGUGAAUGGUGAGUGCCCUGGGGGUACCUGCACGUGUGCUCAGCGUAACCCCCCAUGUUAAGCCCUUUCCUCAUUAAGUGCUUAAUCCUCCGAUCCAAAAGCUACAAUCUUAGAUCCAAGUCCUUUUUAACAUCUUAAUCCAUUAAGUCACUGACUUGGUGACUAUGCAUGCCCUAAAUAAAUCCAAACUCCAAAAAUGACUUUCUACUUUCAUGGAAAUGGUCUUAACUCAUGCAUGAACCCAUUAAGACCUCAAAGAUGGCUACUUUACUGCUUAAGGGACCCUUUUAGCUCUGCGGGUGGCAACCCUAAGCUCACAAACGAGAUUUCAUCACAAAGAUCCAUUCUUGGGACCAAAACACUCCAAAAUCACACCACACUAGAUCUAAGCAUUCUUAAGUAAGGUUGUGAACUUUAUACCUCCAAAGGGUUCCAAAUGAUGAUGCUAUUCCAAAUCUAUAAUCUCCCACUUCCCAAGUUCCUCCUUGACGACUUCUUCUUUCCUCUUCGAAGCUUAAAACCACCAAGAUGAGCUUCCCAAGGUCAUGAUUUCACAAGAAUGAAGGGAUGAGGCGUUCUAGCGUUUCUAUGAGGUUGGGGAGGUUGAUAAGAAGGAUAGGGUUUGAGCCAUUAUGUUCUUUAUAUGGUGGCUCACCCUAAAAUUAGGGUUUUUUGUCACUGGAUGUACGCUGGGCGUACGUCUAAGGCACCCGCGAUCAUUUCCUUUGUACACUGGGCAUAACCCAAACUUACGUUGGGCGUAGCCAGAUAAACACACGUGUGCACUUCAUGCAUGCAAGGGACUGCCUUGGCAACUUUUCCAUUAAGGGACCAUAAAUGUUAACAACUUCAAAAUGCUAUAAAUCCUUUAUUCUAUGUCCAUUUUCGACGAACUUUAUAUCCACAAAAAGGUGUUGAGAAGACUUACGCUUCUAGCGACACACCCCGACCCAAAAUAUCUCGAAUAAAACUCCGAAACCAUGAAAGACCAAAACGCCCCUAGCCUUGGCCUAUGAAAUCCAUAAAUGAUUUGUUUCAGAACAGGGUGUUACAACUCUCCCCCACUUAAAUUAAACUUCGUCCUUGAAGUCUUUCCUUACUAACACCCAUCUCCCCAUCAACUGAUCUGCGAAACGCAACCAAUGACUCUACGCGCGAAACAACAUUCCCAAGACAUUGAAAGCCAUCUCGGUCUUUCAUUCUGAAGAAGAUGAAAUUUAACUUCCACAAACCCCAAGCUACUUCGCACACAGGAACCAUUAUGAUAGACACUCUUGCACGAACGUCAUGUUGCCACUUGCCUUCUCUCCGAAAGAGUUGGGACCUCUCAAGUCCAAACCUUUCUGUUCACCAUCCCGAAUACCGGAUUUCCUCUGGUUACUGAACCCAAGAUCAAACUCUCAAUUGCUCCUAGCAACCUCCGAAGAAACUUCGACUAUCUAAAACUGCUCUAUCUACCUCGCCAAUCUGGCUCCCUGAAUCCUGGGAUCCUCGAUCCCCCUAAAUUAACACUAAGGCCUCUAGCAGGUCCCACCUGCGCUGCUAAAAUAUUACGGGCCUCACCCACGGGUCUCACCCAAACUAUAUCUUAGAGCGGCCUCUCCCUCAAGUCUCACUUGUCUUGCUACUAUCGCAAGGGCCUCGCCCACGGGUCCCACCCAAACCAUACUGCUGAGUGACCCUACCCCUAGUCUCACCUAUCUAGGGCUACACGGGUCCUAAACCAUCCUGAAUCCUCCAAAAACUAUCCUUUCUCAAUCUCUAUCCGACUAACUAGGAGAUACGAGCCUCGCCCAUACUCCGCUAUCUAGGAGAUCCAGGCCCCCGCCCAUACUCUUCCAACUACUGGCAACCAGCCAGAAAACAUUUAACAACAAGUUCUCCACAGUCUAACAUCCUGAUUAACUCGCAUGCUACCGGGAAAACAUCAUCCUGGUUUCCUAAACCAGUCCUCUACUACUACGAAUACAUGAAUUCAAUGUCAGGAUGUUUCUCAAACUCCUGAGUCCUCAUUCCUCUAUCAAAAAUCGCUACCACGACUGCAUUCCUUCUUAGCCAGGAGGCGAACGCAUCCAAGUUGCGCUCCUACCCCAGCGCCUGACUACUGGGAUAAUACUCCCCCACUUCGAUUCAACUAGAUGCUUACAUGUUCUAGCUUGGGAAAGGAUUCCAAUCCUUUUCUCCAUCCAAAGGUCGAUCUGCUACCAACCACGCUUACCACUGCUGGAGCUCCAAAACUAACCAAUACCAAACCCGAACCGCUCUUGUAGACAAACAAGACACUUCCCGAGUGCACCUCACACUUGCUACAUCGAUUGCGUCCCGAAAACCAGCCCAAAGGGGGGGGGGGGUAAUGCUAUGAACUACCGCACAAAAAUCCAUGGUAUGCGGAUGGCAUAUGAUCCAAACACGAACAUAAAUAGAAUUCUAACAUGCAUUCGCUAACAUAGAUGUAGUACCAUACCAAUAUGAUCAUGAAUAAAAACUGAAAGGAAAGCAAAAGAUACAUACCUGCAACGUCCGGUGCUGCUCGCGCCUCCACUGUAGACGACUAAAAAGCCCUACUCCCCACUGUUGGCGCCUCCGCUUGGCCCUGACGGCCGUCGGUGAUCCUCGAGGUUGCAGGGGCAGGUGCCAUCACCUGUCCUGUUGGAAGCAAACUCAGACACUAGGCCUUCUUGUGGCCCCUCUUCCUACAAUGGAAACAUAUCAGGUCUGAUCCCUGAGUGGUGGUAGCAGUAUAAUACCUGCUGAAAUGACAAGUCUAGCCGCACAUAAAGCAUCCAAAAUCACCACCACUACCACUCCUGCACGCACCCUUAUGUGUCCUGCCACAACGAUUGUGGCUCUGAUGUCCAACCCCUAGGGUCUCUUGCCUGAACCUGUGGAUACCUGAACCUCCUCCAGCUUCCUCUUCUUGAGGUGCUCCAGAUCGAUAUCCCUCUCCCUGGCCUGAUCAAUCAUAUCCUCUAGUAUCUUACAACUGGACCUGUUCACAAACUCCCUGACGUCACUCCUCAGCAUCUCCUGAUAUCGGACCUUCUUCAUCUCCUCGUCCGCGACAUACUGCGAAACAAGAAGAGUCCUCUCCCUGAACUUGGCGGUGAUCUCCUCCACUGUCUCUGUAGUCUGCCACAAAUCCUGAAACUCUCGUGCUAACUGUUGCACCUCAAUCCCUGGAGCAACUCGGCCCUGAACCUGGUAGGGAAAUAACUCCAUGUCAUCACGUCCAACGCGGCAUCAUCCCCAAUGGCAUCACCAACCUCCUCCCACCAAUCCCGCGCUCUAUCCUUCAGAAGGCAGGAGGCAAGUCGGACCUUGUCCCCCUUGGGACACCGGCUCGUACAGAAAGCAUUGGUGACAUCAGCCAACCACCUGUUGCUAGAAAUGGGGCCCUGGCCCCAUGAUAAUCCGGAGCUCCACAAGCCCUAAACUCUCGGAAUGUCAGUGUACGUUCCCCCAUCAUAGCCACCAUCUCAGCGCGGAAGGCUCCCAACCCCUCAUCCAAUAUUUCUAGUAUUCUAUCUUUGACCGUACCAAAGAUCACAGGAUUCUGGUCUAGAAUACUUCGGGUAAUCUCAGCUGAUAUAAACUCCCUCAUCUGCUCCCCGAGCUGAUCAGCUCCAGAACCCGAGCCUGAUCCCUCACCUACGGCUGAUCCACCCAUUGGCCUACCUCGUAGCGUCACCAUGCUAAAAACAUGCCAUAACAACCAUCAGAAUACACAUUACUACUAAGGGAUCCCACAUGCUCAACAAUUUCCCUGGUUUUAUUCAUCCCUUCUUGAAUCGAGUACAGAUCCUCUGAUUUCACUAGUAUGGGCCCCUACUACCUUCCACAUCUAUCCGUACUUUCCUCAAGAAUUGCCUCGACUACACCAAGUCCCUUUCACUGCUACUAACACUGCUCCCAACAUUACUCUCAUCCUAGGCUUGCCCAAGGGUAACCUCCAACCUGCACCUAAUUCUCAACUACUGAAGGUAUCUUUAUAAUGCCAAUUAGCCACUACCUGAAUACCAUCAUAUGUGAUGAGGCUCAGAUAAUCCUUCGAGUAAAGGACCCCUACCUACAACGGUUGGAACCAGACAAGAGUUGUGCAAUAGGGCCAAAUCCAGCACUCUGAGAUUAUUCAACCCUGGUCGCAUGUGACUUGAUGCAUUCACCUAAUGGCUAAUUCCCAUCUCUCAGAGUCCCACAAAGCAUAAAGCAAGUAGCAUUUCAGACAAAAAAGGAAAUCUAACCAGAACAUAAUCAAGCAAUUCUAUCCCUACCACAAGAAUCUGUACUAGCAUGCGUUGCUAAGCUCAUACAAUCAGGCAUAAUCUAAACAGGCUAUCCAAUCGUUGUCUAACCGAUACUAGCAUGUAGUUCACAAACACAUAUAACAGGCCUAUAAGGCAUCCUCCUAGAUCCUUAGCCCUAAAUGUAGCAUGUUGAUCACAUAAUCAUAUCGUAACAUAAACUUGUAUGGGUAAUUUGGGAGAACUUACUUGAGCUCGGCUGAUUGCAUGCACCACACCCGUUUUCUCUUUUCAACUCUUUUCUUUUCUCAGAAAGUGUUUUUAUAAAAAUGAUUUUCUUUUGAAAAUUUUUAUACCAUGCCCUCAGUUUGAUUUCAGUCACACCUGAGGGUAUGCCCGAAUCCCUCAAACCAAGUCUCUGAACCAACUUGCAACGACCCAAAAAUCAUGACAAAAGAUUUCGUUUUUAAUUAAUAAUAAAACCACAAGUGUCAACCAUUCAUUCAAAGCAUAUCACAACAGAGUAUCAAGUCUAAAAAAUUAUUUUAUUUUAUCAAAGUAAACAUCCCAGGCUAAAACUCCUUUGGUGUGUGUGCCAUGUGAUCACCCCGAGCUCUUCCCUCCACUAUCGGAAGUACCUGAAACAAAAACUAAAAACCGUAAGCACGAAGCUUAGUGAGUUCCCCAACCUACCACAUAUCACAUACAUAACCACAUACUGGGCCCCCACCCGCUGCAUCGGGACGUGCCUGACAUCGGACUAGCUCCGGCAUUAGGCCCCGCCUGGCAUUGAGCCCCGCUCGGUAUACAUAUCUGUUUCUCUUAGCCCCCCCUGUCUUUGGGCCUCACCCGCUAAACAUAUACAACAUAUAACAUAACACAUAACACGUAAGCUAAACACACUCUAAUGUAUUCCUGUACUAAGGCCUCACAUAUCUUGGGCCCCACCCCUGUCCUACUACUAGGUAGCCAUGGAACCUUGUCCAUGAUCAUGCUGAUAGUGAGAUACAGGCCCCCCGCGCCACACUCACCUCUCUCUUAUCUUCGGCCUCGCCCCUGCUCUGCUACUAAUGAGAUAUGAAACCCCGUCCAUACUCUGCUAGUGAUGAGAUACAGGAACUCGCCCACACUCACCUCCCUACCAGGCAUAUACAAGUAUCACACAAACAACAAGUAUAAACUAUCAUACAAGCAUUCCUUGGGCACCCGCCCGACAUCGGACCUUGAUCCGGAAUCACAUACUAACAUAUGGUGCCUAGGGUUAACCCCUAGGUUUUCUUACUCGUAAACUACAUGGGCCCACAUUGUAGCCGUAGAACCAUUCACACAAUGAGGAGACUCACCUUGCACUGUUGAAACCUUGCUGGUAUCCCUCUAGCUGCUAUCUGCCAAUUCCCGAAUUGCUGCUCCUUCGACUCCCCGAGCUACCAGCACCAAAUAUCACUUAGUCCAAUAUAAUAAUCCUUCUUAGGUUAAAAUAACCAUUCUACCCCUAGUCUAACUUGGUCCAUAUCUACGGCCCAAAACUAAGGCCAAAUACUAAGUAAGCUUUACUUGCCCACUAGUGGCCCAAUAAUGGCCCACUUUGUUAAAUCGAGCCCAAUUCCUCUAAUGCGCCUUACCCUAAGCCCAAACAUCUUCAUGUCCCACAUAUUCUGACUUCUGUUGGCCUACUAAAGCCUAAAGUCCAAUGCAAGGCCCAAUCUGAGGCCCAAUACCUCGAAGCCCAAACUGCCAGUGUACGUGGGGCGUACGCUCACGUACGCUAAGCGUACUGGGUGAAUGGUGAGUGCGUUGGGGGUACCUGAACGUGCGCUCAGCGUAACCCCCCAUGUUAAGCCCUUUCCUCAUGAAGUGCUUAAUACUCCAAUCUAGAAGCUACAAUCUUAGAUCCAAGUCCUUUUUAACAUCUUAAUACAUACUUUGCAUGCCCCAAAUAAUACCAAACUCCAAAAAUGACUUUCUAAUUUCAUGGAAAUAGUCUUAACUCAUGCAUGAAACCAUUAAGACCUCAACGAUGGCAACUUUACUACUUAAGGGACCCUUUUAGCUCUAAGGGUAACAACCCGAAGCUCAGAAACGAGAUUUCAUCACAAAGAUCCAUUCUUGGGACCAAAAUACUACAAAAUCACACCACACUAGAUCUAAGCAUUCUUAAGUAAAGUUGUGAACUUUAUACCUCCAAAGGGUUCCAAAU
This 6487-nucleotide long non-coding RNA is filed under the name Lactuca sativa (garden lettuce). RNAcentral's name for it is "long non-coding RNA (LSAT_LNC002560)". Lineage: Eukaryota; Viridiplantae; Streptophyta; Magnoliopsida; Asterales; Asteraceae. The record is from RNAcentral.